AUAGAAUCUGCACCUCAGAGACUCCAGUAUAAAUACCACUAAGAUUAAGCUGCCAGAACUAUCAAGGCAUGGGUUCAUGAUGUUCACAAUUCAGUCUGAACACCCUCUCCCCAUCCUGAAACAAGGUUCUGGGUUAGGUUCAAGCUAACUGGGGCAUAACCUUAAAUAGAAUGGCAUUGCCAAGAUCCAAGGACAAAGGGGAUUUCAUCUGGGGACUAGGGAGCAAACUAGCUCUUUGCCUACUUUGUGAGCUUUUCAGAGGACAAUGGACAGAUUUUUAUGUUCCUGCACACAAAUGAAUCUCCACCACACAAAAACAUCGCAUUAAAGAGAGAGAGAUUUCCACUGAAGCGUCUCAAAUGGCAUGAAAAACUGAUGGAUCAUUGUCACAGAUAUUAAAAGUUAAUUGGGGGACACAAGAAAGGUGAAGAAUUCGAGGCCAGCCUGGUCUACAGAGGGAGUUCCAGGACAGCCAGGACUGUUAUACAGAGAAACCCUAUCUCAAAAAACCAAAAAAAAAAAAAAAGAGAAAGAAAAAGGUAAAGAAGCAAAGGAAGAGGAGAAUGGAAAAGAGGAGGCAGAAGACGAGGAAAAGGAGAAGAUAGUAAGUAGUUAAUAUAAUUACAAUGCCCAAGAUGUUAUGGAGAAAUUUAAAUGAGGAAGAGAGUUUGCUAACCAGUAAGUGAGGUAUCUAUCUUUUGGGGGAAAAUUCCCACAUAUUAAUGUACCUUAAAAAUUAUUUUGGAAUUAUUUAUCUUAUAUGCAUGAGUGCUGUGCCUCCAUGUAUGUAUAUGAACCACAUGCUUGCCUGAUGCCUGUGGAGGUCAGAAGAGCGCAUCAGAUCUCCUGGAACUGGAGUUACAGGUAUUUGUGAGCUACCAUGUGGGUGCUUGGGGUUGAAUCCAGGUCCUCUUCCAGAGCAACAAGUUCUUUUAACUCUCGAGUGACCUCUUCAGCCCUACCCUGUGAUAGUUUGAGUGAAAACUGAUAGUUAUCAGAGGUUCAUAGGGAGUGAUAUUAAGGAUGAGGACAUGUGGCCUUGUUGGAAAAAGUGUGCCACUGGGAGUGGGCUUUGAGGUUUCAGAAGCUCAAGCCAAGCUCAGUGGCUCACUUGUCUUCCUGCUGCCUGCUGAUUUGGAUGUAGAACUCUCAGCUACCUCUCCAGUACCACAUCUACCUGCACGCUGCCAUAUUUCCCACCAUAGUGAAAAUGGACUAAACUUCUGAACUGUAAACCAGCUCCAGUGAAAUAUUUUCCUUCAUAAGAAUUGCUAUGAUCAUGGUAAUAAAACCCCAGCUAA
Molecule: long non-coding RNA, 1301 nt
Organism: Mesocricetus auratus (golden hamster)
Lineage: Eukaryota; Metazoa; Chordata; Mammalia; Rodentia; Cricetidae
Exons: 2
Source: RefSeq, a predicted model, not a curated record